UUCCCUCUAUGUGACUAUCCUCUUUCUAAAACUGAUAAAUAAUCACAUCUUAUUUUCCCAUGUUUCAGGUAUCACACAUUAUUGUUCUGGGUCAGUGAGAUUGUUGCUUGCAGUUGUGGGAUGAGGUGAAGGGCCAGCAUUUUGUGUCACGUAGGUUCCCAUUUUGAAGACUUUUCAAUUGUUGUUAUUUGAAUGUGUGAAGAUAUUGGAUGAGAGUUGGACUCUGGUGAGACAAGGGAAGAAAAGUUGCCAUCUCAUUGGGUAUUAUUGGGUUUCAACUGUCAAUGGAAUGCAAUAAAGAGGAGGCCAUUAGAGCAAAAGAAAUUGC
Molecule: unclassified non-coding RNA, 328 nt
Filed under: Hevea brasiliensis (rubber tree)
Lineage: Eukaryota; Viridiplantae; Streptophyta; Magnoliopsida; Malpighiales; Euphorbiaceae
Source: RNAcentral